GACGAACGCUGGCGGCGUGCCUAAUACAUGCAAGUCGAGCGGACUUUCAAGAAGCUUGCUUUUGAAAGUUAGCGGCGGACGGGUGAGUAACACGUGGGCAACCUGCCUGUAAGACGGGGAUAACUCCGGGAAACCGGGGCUAAUACCGGAUAAUAUCUUUCUUCGCAUGAAGGAAGGUUGAAAGGCGGCGCAAGCUGCCGCUUGCAGAUGGGCCCGCGGCGCAUUAGCUAGUUGGUGAGGUAACGGCUCACCAAGGCGACGAUGCGUAGCCGACUUGGGAGGGUGAUCGGCCACACUGGGACUGAGACACGGCCCAGACUCCUACGGGAGGCAGCAGUAGGGAAUCUUCCGCAAUGGACGAAAGUCUGACGGAGCAACGCCGCGUGAGCGAAGAAGGUCUUCGGAUCGUAAAGCUCUGUUGUCAGGGAAGAACAAGUACCGUUCGAAUAGGGCGGUACCUUGACGGUACCUGACCAGAAAGCCACGGCUAACUACGUGCCAGCAGCCGCCGUAA
This 514-nucleotide ribosomal RNA is filed under the name uncultured bacterium. RNAcentral's name for it is "partial 16S ribosomal RNA". It matches the Rfam family "Bacterial small subunit ribosomal RNA", at positions 28 to 523 of the family's 1533-position model. The record is from RNAcentral.